AUUGAACGCUGGCGGCGUGCUUAACACAUGCAAGUCGUGCGGUAACAGGCGUAGCAAUACGUGCUGACGAGCGGCGAACGGGUGCGUAAUACAUGGGAAUCUGCCCUUUAGUGGGGAAUAACCCGGCGAAAGCCGGGCUAAUGCCGCAUAAGAUCUUCGGAUGAAAGCGGGGGAUCGUAAGACCUCGCGCUGAUGGAUGAGCCCAUGUCGGAUUAGCAGUUGGUGAGGUAACGGCUCACCAAGGCGACGAUCCGUAGCUGGUCUGAGAGGACGGCCAGCCACACUGGGACUGAGACACGGCCCAGACUCCUACGGGAGGCAGCAGUGGGGAAUAUUGGACAAUGGGGAAACCCUGAUCCAGCGACGCCGCGUGUGUGAAGAAGGCCUGCGGGUUNUAAAGCACUUUGGU
RNAcentral lists this ribosomal RNA (409 nucleotides) under uncultured bacterium. Its description in RNAcentral is "bacterial SSU rRNA". It matches the Rfam family "Bacterial small subunit ribosomal RNA", at positions 30 to 439 of the family's 1533-position model. The record is from RNAcentral.